UUCAUAAUUUUUUUUUUUUUAAUUUUUAUAACUUUUUUCUUCAGACCAGUUGUUUAUAAAAAUUUUACAACAUUCAAAUUUUUGUUUUUAUUUUAGUAUAGAUGCUGUAUUAUGAACAUCGUUCUGAAGGGCAUGACUCUGACCUUGACAUCCUUGAUCAACCUUGAGGGUCUCCUCUUUGAAUAUGACCUUAAAAAUCAUUCCAUAGUGCCAUAUCUAUUUGCAUAGACUUCAUGGUAAAUUAAAAAAGGGGGAAUCUAUAAAACCUGGUUAAGUCAAAUGGUCCACUCCAUUAUGACAACCUGAACAAAUUGAAAACCGGUGGUAUUUGCCUUACUUGUUUCUUUUUAUUGACAUAAUUGGUUAACAUUACAAUAAUUACGACGGAGGAGCCAAAAUUGGGUAAACAUACAACACAACUGACUUAAAAAUUCACACACUAAAAAUUCACAUACAAAAAAAUUCACACACUAAAAAUUCACACACAACGAAUUCACACGCAAAAAAAUCACACGUAAAAAUUUCACACACAAAAAAAAUCACACAAAGACAGUCACCAACAAAAAAAGUUCUUGGAGUUGCAGUAUAUAGUAAAACAAAAUGACAUACACUGGUAAAAAAAUAAAAUUUCCUACAGUUGGCGCAGUAGAUACCUCUGCUUUAUCUGACUGCAUGACGUCCAUACUCGUUUUAUUUUAGAACUCACAAUUGUCCAGUGAAGGUUAUAGUUGUAGAGGUGUUUAGAUCUCUUGUAAGUACAAGUUUCAGUACUUAUCUGUCACUAGUAAUACUGAGAAUAAAUGUCACUACAACUGAGCUUUUCCUGCAUACGAUUGGUUUCCUCACAUUACUUGGUAUUUUAUGCAAAAGUCUAUACUUUUUUAAUAUUUUGGUCUGUAGUUUUUUCCCUGAAAGUUAAAAGUAACAUUUCAUUGAGAUAUUUUAUUGGGACUGAUUCAAAC
RNAcentral lists this long non-coding RNA (962 nucleotides) under Mytilus galloprovincialis (Mediterranean mussel). Lineage: Eukaryota; Metazoa; Mollusca; Bivalvia; Mytilida; Mytilidae. The record is from RNAcentral.